RNAcentral lists this long non-coding RNA (365 nucleotides) under Eucalyptus grandis. Its description in RNAcentral is "long non-coding RNA (EGRA_LNC005434)". Lineage: Eukaryota; Viridiplantae; Streptophyta; Magnoliopsida; Myrtales; Myrtaceae. The record is from RNAcentral.
GUCUUAAUAAAAUGAGGUCAUGCCUUGGUGAUUGCGGUCGGUUUAGUCAAAGAUGUGAAGCUCAAACAUUCACGACCCAGAGUACCGGAGUAUUUAAUCACAGGUGGAUAAGUGUGUUGCUAUCCAAAUACAUGGCAACUCAGAUUUAUUUCAUACUAUGAGUGCAUCCUGGAACCAUUUUGAAGCAAACUCUAAGCUUCGGACUUGGGUUCCACAGAUUCCUGCUGUUGCUUCCACUGCUCUGGCGUAAUGGCUUUCUUGAUAGAAAGAGCAUGUAUCUCUUUCAUCUCCUCCUCAAGUGCAGCAUUCACCAGCCGGUGCCUCUCCAGCAGCCUCUUCCCUUCGAAUUGCUCAGACACAAUCUC